GUGUGGACACACUGGUGAUACUUCAAUGAACGUGAAGAACAUAAUCUCUUCCCACAGCGGUCACAAGAGUACGUAUGGAUAAGAUGGUGAUGGUGAAAACAAAUCCCACAUUGGUCAUAGGGGUACAGUUUAUCUCCACCAUGGUUAAGUCGUUGCCUUUUUCGAGUUGAUGAAUGCUGGAAAGUUCUCCCACAAGAAGAACAAACAUGUAGUUUCUCCCCACUGUGGAUGCGCUGGUGCCUUUUUAGGGAUGAUACAAGUUUAAAAGGUCUCCUGCAAUAGGCACAAGUGUAUGGUUUAUCUCUAGUGUGUAU
Long non-coding RNA from Thalassophryne amazonica, 314 nucleotides. RefSeq lists it as uncharacterized. Lineage: Eukaryota; Metazoa; Chordata; Actinopteri; Batrachoidiformes; Batrachoididae. The record is from RefSeq and is a predicted model, not a curated record. The transcript has 4 exons.